UGUGUCUGUGUGUGUGUGUGUGUGCGCACGCGUGUACACAUACAUACAUACACACACACACACACACCGGGAAGGC
Molecule: microRNA precursor, 76 nt
Filed under: Myotis lucifugus (little brown bat)
Lineage: Eukaryota; Metazoa; Chordata; Mammalia; Chiroptera; Vespertilionidae
Description: miRNA (ENSMLUG00000026536.1)
Source: RNAcentral